AUGGGUAAGUGACGCAGUAUCCUAGUCGGAAACCCCUUUUCCAAAGGCGGGCCUAAAAAUCCGCUGCGGGCACAUCGAUGAAGUUCCUGGUGCUGGCUGCCGACGCCCAGUCGGGGGCUGGUACUGGGAGUUAAGGGGAUGGGGCGACCCGCAAGGGCAUGCGGGCGUGGACCCUGUCCCCGCGGAGACCCAAGUGCGUGGGGAGCGCGGCGAACUAUGGCUUGGGGUAUAAACCUGUACGUGGGAAAAAGCUGCGUACAGUGUAGCCUGCCUUGAGUGGUAAUGGUGGAUUCCCGACAACGCAUCCUGGACGCGGGGGCCCCCGCCGACGGGGUGUGGGCUGAAACCAUUACUGCAAAAGAGGCUAGGGGAAGGGGUCUUCCGCCGAAGAAAAUUCCUAGGCUGUCCGUAGGGGGCAGGCCGGGGAUUGCAGUGUAGUCUAAGUGGCAGUCCAGUAUCGGUAACGGUAACGUUCCGAAAACGGCCUUAAAGGGGAACCGCCCGUACGGCGACGGCGGGUGGCCGUUUGGGAAAACCUACUGGACCUCAAGCUACAAUAUUUACCCGGUCUGCUGUCACUUACCCA
Molecule: small RNA, 586 nt
Filed under: marine eukaryotic metagenome
Source: RNAcentral